CCUACGGGAGGCUGCAGUGGGGAAUAUUGGGCAAUGGGCGCAAGCCUGACCCAGCAACGCCGCGUGAAGGAAGAAGGCUUUCGGGUUGUAAACUUCUUUUAAGAGGGAAGAGAAGAAGACGGUACCUCUUUAUUCAGCCACGGCUAACUACGUGCCAGCAGCCGCGGUAAUACGGAGGUGGCAAGCGUUUUCCGGAUUUACUGGGUGUAAAGGGCUUGCAGCCGGGCUGACAAGUCAGAUGUGAAAUCCCAGGGCUCAACCGCGGAACUGCAUUUGAAACUGUCAGGCUUGAGUACCGGAGAGGUGAGCGGAAUGCCUGGUGUAGCGGUGAAAUGCGUAGAUAUAAGGAAGAACACCGGUGGCGAAGGCGGAUGACUGGACGGCAACUGACGGUGAGGCGCGAAAGCGUGGGGAGCAAACAGGAUUAGAUACCCGAGUAGUC
RNAcentral lists this ribosomal RNA (442 nucleotides) under uncultured bacterium. RNAcentral describes it as "partial 16S ribosomal RNA". It matches the Rfam family "Bacterial small subunit ribosomal RNA", at positions 338 to 795 of the family's 1533-position model. The record is from RNAcentral.